AUGGGGCUGAGGGUCACUCAAUACUACAUCUUUGUUAUAAUGAUAACCAAAGGUGUCAGCAGUGAUGAGAUCAGACUGGACCAGACUCCUGCUGUGGUAAAGAGACCUGGAGAAACUGUGAAGAUCUCUUGUAAGAUAAGUGGAUAUUCAAUGACAAGCCACAACCUACACUGGAUACGACAGAAACCAGGGAAAGCUCUGGAAUGGCUUGGCCGGAUGGAUACAGGCAAUAAUCAAGCAAUAUAUGCAGAGUCUGUGAAGAACCAGCUCACCUUAACAGAAGACGUCUCAGCAAGCACACAGUACUUAGAGGCCAAGAGUCUGAGGACAGAGGACACUGCAGUUUAUUACUGCACCCGAAGAGCCACAGUGACUGGAGCUGAGGAAGCAGCUGUACUAAAACCAGACACACAUUUUCACAGUGUUUCACAAGUCACAUAUGUGUUCUGUGCUACUGAGCUCAUCCAGCCAGACUCACUGCUUAUAAAGCCAGGAGAGACUUUAACCAUCACCUAUUCCUGCAGUCAGACACUGAUCCAGUCUGAUCCUGUGACCAUCAAACCUGAUCCGUCUCAUAAACUGACCUGCACAGCCUCUGGGUUUGACUUUGGUAGCUAUGAAAUGGCUUGGAUCAGACAGGCGCCUGGAAAAGGACUGGAAUGGGUUGCAUAUAUCUCAAAUGAUCUGGAUCAUUUGGAAACAGGUCUUUUCUGCCUCUAG
Non-coding RNA from Hemibagrus wyckioides, 720 nucleotides. Lineage: Eukaryota; Metazoa; Chordata; Actinopteri; Siluriformes; Bagridae. The record is from the annotation of a RefSeq genome assembly.